CCACGCCGCGUGAGCGAUGAAGGUCUUCGGAUCGUAAAGCUCUGUGGGGGGAGAAGAAGAAAGUCGGUGAAGAGCCGGCCCUGACGGUAUCCCCUUAGCAAGCACCGGCUAACUCCGUGCCAGCAGCCGCGGUAAUACGGAGGGUGCAAACGUUGCUCGGAAUCAUUGGGCGUAAAGCGCGCGUAGGCGGCUGAACAAGUUGGAUGUGAAAGCCCUGGGCUCAACCUAGGAUGUGCAUUCAAAACUGUUCGGCUUGAGUCUCGGAGGGGGUCAGAGAAUUCUCGGUGUAGAGGUGAAAUUCGUAGAUAUCGGGAGGAACACCAGUGGCGAAGGCGCUGACCUGGACGAUGACUGACGCUGAGGCGCGAAAGCGUGGGGAGCAAACAGGAUUAGAUACCCUGGUAGUCCACGCCGUAAACGAUGAGUGCUAGACGCUGGCGGAUUGACCCCGUCGGUGUCGAAGCUAACGCGUUAAGCACUCCGCCUGGGGAGUACGGUCGCAAGACUAAAACUCAAAGGAAUUGACGGGGG
RNAcentral lists this ribosomal RNA (531 nucleotides) under uncultured bacterium. Its description in RNAcentral is "bacterial SSU rRNA". It matches the Rfam family "Bacterial small subunit ribosomal RNA", at positions 392 to 919 of the family's 1533-position model. The record is from RNAcentral.